RNAcentral lists this ribosomal RNA (353 nucleotides) under uncultured bacterium. RNAcentral describes it as "bacterial SSU rRNA". It matches the Rfam family "Bacterial small subunit ribosomal RNA", at positions 1037 to 1390 of the family's 1533-position model. The record is from RNAcentral.
GGUGCUGCAUGGCUGUCGUCAGCUCGUGUCGUGAGAUGUUGGGUUAAGUCCCGCAACGAGCGCAACCCUUAUCUUUAGUUGCCAGCAUGUUUGGGUGGGCACUCUAAAGAGACUGCCGGUGACAAGCCGGAGGAAGGUGGGGAUGACGUCAAGUCCUCAUGGCCCUUAUGUCCUGGGCUACACACGUGCUACAAUGGCGGUGACAGUGGGAAGCUAGAUGGUGACAUCAUGCCGAUCUCUAAAAACCGUCUCAGUUCGGAUUGCACUCUGCAACUCGAGUGCAUGAAGGUGGAAUCGCUAGUAAUCGCGGAUCAGCAUGCCGCGGCGAAUACGUUCCCGGGUCUUGUACACAC